UUUUUUUACUUUCUUACCAAUUGACUUGAAGAGAGAAUCUUUCUCUCACAUGGUACCUAGGUAUAUAGAAUAUCCUCAAGUUCUUAAAAAAAAAUUAUAAUAGAUAUAGGUGUAUUCAAGUAUAGGUGUAUCUGAGUGUGUGUUUGUUGUAUAUGUUACAUUUGAAGCAUGUGAACUAUGUGAUGUACUAAUCUUCAAUUAUUUUAGUAGCCUCAUCAAAUUUUCACUAAGAAAAUUAAGUUGUUCCUAUUUUUCCUUGGGUGGCGGAUAUGAACAUCUUCAUAGUAUUGAAUAGUGCCAGUGAAUGCUCGAGUUGCUCCAGAACUCCGAUCUUGAACCUGAUUUUGAUAUCGAAGAAGAUAUCGGGAACAAGGCUACUAUGGCAAAAGAGGAGGAGCAGCAGCAGAAAGAGGAGGUGCGAUUGUGUUCCUUGGCCUUCAUCAACUACGAAACCAGCAAGGACUUUUGAUUGGCGCCGCUUCGAUCCGGUUGCUCUCCCCGCUGCUUCGAUCCUAUGCCCCACCGCUUGGUUCCAUUCCCCUACCGCUUCGAUACCAUCUCUUACUUUCGCCCAUCUCCCGUUCUCUCUCUGUCCCACCUACGUCCUCUAGGUUUUCGUAGAAGAGGGUGAUGAGCACGGCGGUGGAUCCAUGGGCAGCGACAGCGGAGGCGAUCACCAUGACGGUGGAGGCCACAACUAUGGCCGUGACGGAGAGGCGAGAGACUUUAGAAAGAAGGGGUGGGGCAUGGCGGGGGGCCCUACUGCCGUCCUCCGAGCGGAAACCAGAAUCUCUCAUCGCGAAUCGAAACCCUUCCCUAAUUCUCCUCCUCACCCCAAUUCGCACUCCCACAAAUUGAUCAAAAGGGAAACCCUAUCAAGGACAAUUAGUUUAUGGCUAUGGAUCUGUUGCAUGGAAGGAUCGGGCGGGCGAAUGGAAAAUAAAGCAGUUGGAGAAGAUCCAAAAGGCUCAUAUGGUAGUAGUAUGAGAAGAUAAAGGGACCCGAAAAAAAAAAAGCAAAAAGCAAAAGCAAUUUAUAGCAGCAGUUAGAAAAAAAUCAGGACUAUAGAUGUAGAAGCCCAAUUCUAUGUGCUUGCCGUAGAUAACAGCAUCAUUUGAUAGGAAGGUCAUUGAGAGGUUGCACAAACACUUUUUAAGCCGAGGUGCCAGUGUAGAUUCCAGGAGCAAGGCAUUGGAAUUGCUAGAGUUGAGGGAUGGUGCUAAGAUUCAUAACCAAGCUAACCCACUUUUUGCUUCCCCUGAUAUCCAAGAGAUAGAAUUUGGUAAUUAUUGAUUACUGUAUGUCUGGAAUGACUGGGGAUCAUUUUCUUUGAAAGAUAUUCCAAUGAAUAGGCCUUCCAAGAUCAAUUGGUGAGGAGUUUUCAGUGAGAGAAUUAAUUUCAUAAAAGUCCCAAACAUACUUCCAUUUCUUUUCUUUUUUGUUUAUCUUACUUUUAAUGUUUACAUUGUGUUUAAGUUUUUGUAGUAUUUUAGAUCUAAUUUUGAAGUACUAUAUGUAUGUUUUGAUUGUGAAGAGUAUAAGAAGUGAUGCAUUUGAGCAGUUGCCCUUUCAAAUAA
Molecule: long non-coding RNA, 1577 nt
Organism: Ananas comosus (pineapple)
Lineage: Eukaryota; Viridiplantae; Streptophyta; Magnoliopsida; Poales; Bromeliaceae
Exons: 6
Source: RefSeq, a predicted model, not a curated record